AUAGAGACUCAGAGCUGCAUAUCAAUAAGCGGAGGAAAAGAAACUAACAAGGAUUCCCCUAGUAACGGCGAGUGAAGCGGGAAGAGCUCAAAUUUGAAAUCUUAAAGGUUUUCCCUUGACGAAUUGUAGUUUAAAGAAGUGUCUUCUGUUGGAGUUUCGGUAAAAGUUCUUUGGAAUAGGACAUCAUAGAGGGUGAGAAUCCCGUAUUUGACCAUUACUUUCCAGCUGUGUGAUACACUUUCAAAGAGUCGGAUUGUUUGGGAAUGCAGUCCAAAAUGGGUGGUAAAUUUCAUCUAAAGCUAAAUACUUGGCGAGAGACCGAUAGCGAACAAGUACCGUGAGGGAAAGAUGAAAAGAACUUUGAAAAGAGAGUUAAACAGUACGUGAAAUUGUCAAAAGGGAAGCGUUUGACACCAGUGUUGUUUUUCCGAAAAUCAAUUACGAAUGUUUUGUUUUUGAGGAGUUAUGACUUCAUCGGCUUGCUCCUUUCUUUAUGAAACUUUCUUAAUGCACUUUUCGGUUAACAAGUCAACAUCAAUUUCUUUUGUUGUAAAAGGGUAUGAGGAAGGUGGCUUUCUUUUCGGAGAAAGUGUUUAUAGCCUUGUGCCUCUGCAAUCGGAGAGAUUGAGGUCUGCAGCGUAGAUCCUUCGGGGUUAGAUACGUUUGUGCUAAGUUAUAGCUUUUCAUAGACAACUUGUUGACUAUGUUUAGUCUUGUAGCUUACUCGCUUACGCUAUUUUACCUACGCUUAGGAUGUUGAUAGUCACAGCGUGUAC
RNAcentral lists this ribosomal RNA (776 nucleotides) under uncultured Neocallimastigales. RNAcentral's name for it is "partial large subunit ribosomal RNA". It matches the Rfam family "Eukaryotic large subunit ribosomal RNA", at positions 23 to 644 of the family's 3401-position model. Lineage: Eukaryota; Fungi; Neocallimastigomycota; Neocallimastigomycetes; Neocallimastigales. The record is from RNAcentral.